This 2346-nucleotide long non-coding RNA is filed under the name Mus musculus (house mouse). RNAcentral describes it as "long non-coding RNA chr11:3985906-3988252". The record is from RNAcentral. Lineage: Eukaryota; Metazoa; Chordata; Mammalia; Rodentia; Muridae.
AUCUGUGAUUUGCCACUGCCCAUUAGCGAGGUGAGCUGCUUUGGGUACUUGGAUCUGCUACCAGGAAGGCUGGCGCUUUUGCAUAAGCAGGGUAGUGUCUCAGAGAGCUGUGAAUAUGCUUCAAGUUCUAGCUUUGCCACAGUUACUGGACUCAUUUCUCCACCUGUUACUUAGUGCUAGCAUAUAAUACUGAGCUAUUCUGUUGGGCACUCUGUGUGUGUGUGUGUGUGUGUGUGUGUGUGUGUGUGUGUUGCGAUUACAUGAUUGCCCUUUGAAACAAUAGGUUGCUAGGCAUUGUGGCACAUGCUUGUAUUGCUAGCAUUUGGGAAACUGAACAGGAGGAUCAUCAGUUUGAAAUCAGUCAGGAGCAUAGUGAGCUGGUCUACACAAGACAGAUACAUACACAAACACACACACAGACACAUACACACACAGGGAAAAAGCUGGUCUAUACAAGGAACACGGGUGCACGUGUGCACACACAUACACACACACAGGGAAAAAGGGAAAGAAGAAGAAGCACAACUGAGAGAACAGAGGAGGGAAGGAGCAGGCGACAUUAAGAACUGAGAGGUGGCUCAGCGGUUAAGAGCACUGACUGCUCUUCCAGAGGUCCUGAACAAUCCCAGCACCCACAUGGUGGUUCACAACCAUCUGUAAUGAGAUCUGACGCCCUCUUCUGGAGUGUCUGAAGACAGCUACAGUGUACUUACAUAUAAUAAAUAAAUAAAUCUUUAAAAAGAAAAAGAAGAAAAGGAAAAAGAAAAAGAAAAAAGAACUGCCUUCCAAAUCAUGAGAGCCUAGAACCAUUGACUUCACAGCUCCAGCCAAGGAGAAUAAGGGUGACAAGAGUCAGGACUGUGAGCUUGGAGGCGUCCUGUGAGCCAACAAGUUAGGGUGCAGAUAAAUGCCCUGCUAGGCAACCAAUGCUCCCCUUCUCUGCUCUGGGACCCCACUCCAGAGAGCCUCACCCCACACCUCCCAGAAGUGCCUCCUCCCAGAAGGAGGUCCCCUGUGUGCUCCAUCCUCCCCAGCUCUGUUCUGUCAUUGCCUAUGCCUUUCCAUGGCGGACACUAAGGUUUGGAAAGAGCAGUAUGCCUGCCUCAGAAACAUGAGGUGUGCCCCGAGUGUGUGUGCUUGCAGGUCAGAAGGCAACACCCAGGAAUUGUCUUUCUCUCCACCAUGUGGGUUCUGGAGAUCAAACUCGAGUUAUCAGGCUUGAGGCAAACACCUUUACCUGCUGAGACAUCUUGCUGGCCCAUUAUUUAUAAAGAUUCACUAUUUUCCAAAGUAAUAUAGACUCUGGUAAGAUAUGAAUGCAUAUAUAUAUUCACAUUGCAUGUAGGGAAUCAGAUUGUGUCAGUGAGGGUAAGUGACCCCAUUCCCUGGGGAACUACACUUUACAUUCGGUACCAUCUCAGGCCCUUUCAUCUAAGUACAGAUGUACAGUUUUGCUCUAAUGAAUACAUUCAUUCUUUACAGUGUAUAACAAGGCAGCUUUUUUAACAUCUGGUCCUCAGAAUCCUUGUCUGUGUAAUGAACAUAAAAGGUCUAUUCUAGUUUGCUUUCUGCCUAGGGAUGAUACCCCCCACAGCGGGCUGAGCCCUCUUACGUGAUAAAAACUCCCCACGGGUAUUCGGUUAUCAGCUUGAGAUGCAGCAGCAGCUUCCCUGUACCACAGCUUCUGUGUGCGGACCCUGAGGACUUUGUCUCAAUGAUGCUGGUCUCUUCUUCAUCACACCUGAUUUCUCAGCCCUGAUUAGCAAGCACCAAUUGUCCCAGUAAAGCAAAGCGUCCACAGAUUAUUAAAAAAAAACUUUAAAAAAUUAUUAAUUUUAUAUAUGUGAGUACACUGUCACUCUCUUCAGACACACCAGAAGAGGGCAUUGUAUCUCAUUACAGGUGGUUGUGGGUCACCAUGUGGUUACUGGGAAUUGAACUCAGGACCUCUGGAAGAGCAGCCAGUGCUCUUAACCAAUGAGCCAUCUCGCCAACACUUCCACAGAUUCUUUUUUUGUUUUGUUUUGUUUUGUUUUUGGUUUUCGAGACAGGGUUUCUCUGUGCAGCCCUGGCUGUCCUGGAACUCACUUUGUAGAUCAGGCUGGCCUGGAACUCAGAAGUCCGCCUGCCUCUGCCUCCCAAGUGCUGGGAUUAAAGGCGUGCACUCACUCUUCCACAGAUUCUUAAUCUAAAAUAUCAUACAAUUAGCCCUGAGGGGAUGUCAUCGGCCAGGUCUCCACUGUCUACAUUUCUCUUAGCAUUAUCUUAUCUUCCAGCUUCCCACAGAUCAUCAACUCUGAGCACUUCGUGGUUCUUCCCACUCAAAGUUCCAAAUACACACUUCUC